GAUGAACGCUGGCGGCGUGCCUAAUACAUGCAAGUCGAGCGAACGGACGAGAAGCUUGCUUCUCUGAUGUUAGCGGCGGACGGGUGAGUAACACGUGGAUAACCUACCUAUAAGACUGGGAUAACUUCGGGAAACCGGAGCUAAUACCGGAUGAUAUUUUGAACCGCAUGGUUCAAAAGUGAAAGACGGUCUUGCUGUCACUUAUAGAUGGAUCCGCGCUGCAUUAGCUAGUUGGUAAGGUAACGGCUUACCAAGGCAACGAUGCAUAGCCGACCUGAGAGGGGGUCCGGCCACCCUGGAACUGGACCAGGGUCCAGACCCCUAGGGGAGGAAGAGGUGGGAAAUUUUCCGCAAGGGGCGAAGGCCUGACGGGGCAACGCGGCGUGGGUAAUGAAGGUCUUGGGUUCGUAAAACCCUGUUAUAGGGAAGAACAUAUGUGUAAGUAACUGUGCACAUCUUGACGGUACCUAAUCAGAAAGCCACGGCUAACUACGUG
Molecule: ribosomal RNA, 496 nt
Filed under: uncultured bacterium
Lineage: Bacteria
Description: partial 16S ribosomal RNA
Rfam family: Bacterial small subunit ribosomal RNA
Source: RNAcentral